GAUGAAGAACGUAGCGAAAUGCGAUAAGUAGUGUGAAUUGCAGAAUUCAGUGAAUCAUCGAAUCUUUGAACGCACAUUGCGCCCUUUGGUAUUCCUUAGGGCAUGCCUGUUCGAGCGUCAUUUAAACCUUCAAGCUAAGCUUGGUGUUGGGUGACUGUCCGCUUCACGGCGGACUCGCCUCAAAAUUAUUGGCGGCCGGUACAUUGGCUUCGAGCGCAGCAGAAACGCGAACUCGGGCCCGUCGUAUUGGCUCCCAGAAGCUAUCUUCACAAUUUUGACCUCGGAUCAGGUAGGGAUACCCGCUGAACUUAAGCAUUUCAAUAAGCGGAGGA
Molecule: unclassified non-coding RNA, 332 nt
Filed under: soil metagenome
Description: partial contains 5.8S ribosomal RNA, internal transcribed spacer 2, and large subunit ribosomal RNA
Rfam family: 5.8S ribosomal RNA (bases 1-120)
Source: RNAcentral